RNAcentral lists this ribosomal RNA (305 nucleotides) under uncultured bacterium. Its description in RNAcentral is "bacterial SSU rRNA". It matches the Rfam family "Bacterial small subunit ribosomal RNA", at positions 335 to 637 of the family's 1533-position model. The record is from RNAcentral.
GGUCCUACGGGAGGCAGCAGUGAGGAAUAUUGGUCAAUGGGCGAGAGCCUGAACCAGCCAAGUCGCGUGAGGGAGUACUGCCCUAUGGGUUGUAAACCUCUUUUGUCAGGGAGCAACGCCGGCUACGUGUAGCCGGACUGAGAGUACCUGAAGAAAAAGCAUCGGCUAACUCCGUGCCAGCAGCCGCGGUAAUACGGAGGAUGCGAGCGUUAUUCGGAUUUAUUGGGUUUAAAGGGUGCGUAGGCGGGACGGUAAGUCAGCGGUAAAAAUGCGGAGCUCAACUCCGUCGAGCCUGUGAAACUGUC